GCUACCUGCAGUCGGACGGUAGCACAGAGAGCUUGCUCUUGGGUGACGAGUGGCGGACGGGUGAGUAAUGUCUGGGGAUCUGCCCGAUAGAGGGGGAUAACCACUGGAAACGGUGGCUAAUACCGCAUAACGUCGCAAGACCAAAGAGGGGGACCUUCGGGCCUCUCACUAUCGGAUGAACCCAGAUGGGAUUAGCUAGUAGGCGGGGUAAUGGCCCACCUAGGCGACGAUCCCUAGCUGGUCUGAGAGGAUGACCAGCCACACUGGAACUGAGACACGGUCCAGACUCCUACGGGAGGCAGCAGUGGGGAAUAUUGCACAAUGGGCGCAAGCCUGAUGCAGCCAUGCCGCGUGUAUGAAGAAGGCCUUCGGGUUGUAAAGUACUUUCAGCGGGGAGGAAGGCGGUGAGGUUAAUAACCUUGCCGAUUGACGUUACCCGCAGAAGAAGCACCGGCUAACUCCGUGCCAGCAGCCGCGGUAAUACGGAGGGUGCAAGCGUUAAUCGGAAUUACUGGGCGUAAAGCGCACGCAGGCGGUCUGUUAAGUCAGAUGUGAAAUCCCCGGGCUUAACCUGGGAACUGCAUUUGAAACUGGCAGGCUUGAGUCUCGUAGAGGGGGGUAGAUUCCA
Molecule: ribosomal RNA, 628 nt
Filed under: uncultured bacterium
Lineage: Bacteria
Description: bacterial SSU rRNA
Rfam family: Bacterial small subunit ribosomal RNA
Source: RNAcentral